Molecule: ribosomal RNA, 301 nt
Filed under: uncultured bacterium
Lineage: Bacteria
Description: partial 16S ribosomal RNA
Rfam family: Bacterial small subunit ribosomal RNA
Source: RNAcentral
CAGCCGCCGCGGUAAUACAGAGGGUGCAAGCGUUGUUCGGAAUUACUGGGCGUAAAGCGUGCGUAGUCGGUAUUGAGAGUCACGGGUGAAAUCCCCAGGCUUAACCUGGGAACUGCCUGUGAGACCUCAGUACUAGAGUGUGAGAGGGGAUAGUGGAAUACCAAGUGUAGCGGUGAAAUGCGUAGAGAUUUGGUGGAACACCGGUGGCGAAGGCGGCUAUCUGGCUCACAACUGACGAUCAGGCACGAAAGCGUGGGGAGCAAACAGGAUUAGAUACCCCUGUAGUCCCUGUCUCUUAUAC